CAGUAGCCACGGUAAUACGUAGGUGGCAAGCGUUGUCCGGAAUUAUUGGGCGUAAAGGGUGCGUAGGCGGUUUCGCAAGUCUUGUGUGAAAUCUAUGGGCUCAACCCAUAGUCUGCACAGGAAACUGCGAGGCUUGAGGAUGGGAGAGGUGAGUGGAAUUUCCGGUGUAGCGGUGAAAUGCGUAGAUAUCGGAAGGAACACCUGUGGCGAAAGCGGCUCACUGGACCAUUUCUGACGCUGAUGCACGAAAGCUAGGGGAGCAAACAGGAUUAGAGACCCCGGUAGUCCCUGUCUCUUAUAC
RNAcentral lists this ribosomal RNA (301 nucleotides) under uncultured bacterium. Its description in RNAcentral is "partial 16S ribosomal RNA". It matches the Rfam family "Bacterial small subunit ribosomal RNA", at positions 509 to 807 of the family's 1533-position model. The record is from RNAcentral.